GUCUACGGCCACACCACCCUGAAUGCGCCCCAUCUUGUCUGAUCCUGGAAGCCAAGCAGGGUCGGGCCUGGUUAGUACCUGGAUAGGAGAAAGAUGUCACAAGCA
Molecule: ribosomal RNA, 105 nt
Organism: Fukomys damarensis (Damara mole-rat)
Lineage: Eukaryota; Metazoa; Chordata; Mammalia; Rodentia; Bathyergidae
Source: Ensembl